UCCUAAGUGUGUCCUCCUAGGAGUGUCCAUUACCUAGAUACUUGGCUAACAGUCCAGGCAGUGACCUCCCACAGGCAUUGUUGCCACAGAGGACUGACUGCCCCCUGUCCAUCCAACCAUCCUUUUUAUAUGUGUGAAGGUACAGGAAACAGAAAGUGAUGUAAGUAGUUCUGGGAAAGUCGUAGCCCCAGCACUUGGUCUGCCUUCAGAAUGGUCACUGUGGACUCCCUGGGCUGUUCCUGGCCCUGAGCCAGCAGGAGAGGCACUUAACUCCCCAUCCUGAAGACCACAGAAGGGAUGAUGAUGAUCUCAGGAGCCUGGUGCCGCUGUACACACAUGCAAUGAGCCUCGGCUAGGAUAGGACUGCUGUGACCGUGGAAGUGGGCCCUGGUGGGUCUCCAUGCCACUUGCUGCUCCUACACCCCCUCCACAAGUUACAAGAAGCAGAGUGAACCCUGAGUCUCCUUCCCCUUUCACAAAUGAAAGUGAGAAAAAGAGACAACAGUUGAGAAAG
Long non-coding RNA from Heterocephalus glaber (naked mole-rat), 514 nucleotides. RefSeq lists it as uncharacterized. Lineage: Eukaryota; Metazoa; Chordata; Mammalia; Rodentia; Bathyergidae. The record is from RefSeq and is a predicted model, not a curated record.